UGGCUCAGUGGUAGAGCACUUGCCUUGCAUGCAUGAGGCCCUGGGUUCAAUUCCUCG
Non-coding RNA from Dipodomys ordii (Ord's kangaroo rat), 57 nucleotides. The record is from Rfam. Lineage: Eukaryota; Metazoa; Chordata; Mammalia; Rodentia; Heteromyidae.